GCGCGGGCAUCGCACUCUGUCUGGAGCCAGGAGCCAGCGGCGGGCUGACCUCUCUAGGAAGGGCGUCCCGGGAGGAGGAGGGCCCCUCAUCUGUGACAGAGGACCCCGGCGUCGCAGCCCCGAGCUGGGAGGUCCGCUGCGGCCUCACCCCGGCUCGGGUUCCGACAAAAGCCUUCUGUUUGCUUUCCAGAAACUUUUCUCCUCAGGGAUUCGCAUCCCGCAGAGCAGGCUCCAAGGCCACGCACGGGCUUGGCCACAGAUGUACUGGAACGGGGGUUCUAAUUCGGGAAGACAAGGACGGGGCCCAGGAAUCUGCAUUUUAACGAACACCAUCCCAAGGCAUGGUGGGUAGGCCACACUUGGAGAGAUACCAGCCAAAGCUUUUGGGCACUACUGUUCCACGAGGAGACACGGAGUCAGCAGUUCCUCCUUCCUUUCUGAGCAUCGCCUCUGGCUUGGUGUGGCUUCAGGCUCAGCAACUCCUUGAGCAUUUUGUCCCCUGCCCUCAGCCUCGUCAGCUUUCCCAGGCCUGGUUUUUCUUAUUUUUCUUUUUCCUGACCUCACUGGAACAUUGAACCCCAUUCUUUCAGAAGGGCCUCAAGGAAGAGAUAAUGCAGGACUUCCCUGGUGGUCCAGUGAUUAAGACUCCGCGCUC
Molecule: non-coding RNA, 655 nt
Organism: Delphinapterus leucas (beluga whale)
Lineage: Eukaryota; Metazoa; Chordata; Mammalia; Artiodactyla; Monodontidae
Source: RefSeq, a predicted model, not a curated record